Molecule: ribosomal RNA, 2442 nt
Filed under: Triticum aestivum (bread wheat)
Lineage: Eukaryota; Viridiplantae; Streptophyta; Magnoliopsida; Poales; Poaceae
Description: partial small subunit ribosomal RNA
Source: RNAcentral
AUGCAGUGCCGUGGUGUGAUGGCAGACGUUCAAGAUGGUCAUUAUGAUUCGUCCACUGACAGCUUGCGCGUUGAGCCUAUUUAUGAAUCAUUUCUUUGUCCACUCACAAAACAAAUUAUGCGGGAUCCUGUCACUUUAGAGAGUGGUGCUACAUUUGAACGGGAAGCCAUUUUGAAGUGGUUCAAGGAAUCUGAUAGCAGUGGAAGGAGCCUUGUCUGCCCUAUUACUAGGAAGGAGCUCAGCAGCACUGAGUUGAAUCCAAGCAUUGCUCUGAGAAACACUAUUGAUGAAUGGAUGCAUAGGAAUGAGGCAGCUAAACUUGAUGUAGCCUGUAAAUCCUUAACUUCCGAGAAUUCAGAACAUGAUACUUUGCAAGCACUUGAAUAUGUUGUGGAGAUAUGUCAGAGAAGUAGAUCCAGCAGACAUGUAGUGAGGAAGCUUGGCUUGAUAAGCUUAAUUUCCGAGCUGUUGAAGAAUAGCAGUACAAAAGUACGGCAAAAGGCAUUGGAAAGUCUUUGCUUUGUAGCUAAAGAUGACAAUGAUAACAAGGAUGAGAUUGCUGCCGGGGACAAUAUUCGCACAAUAGUGAAGUUCUUAUCUCAUGGCCACGUCCAAGAGAAAGAACAGGCUGCAUCUCUGUUAUAUGAACUUUCACAAUAUAAACCUCUUUCAGAAAAAAUUGGGAGCGUUCCUGGGGCCAUACUUAUACUUGUUGGCUUGUCAAGUAGUAAAAUAGAAAACCUGUUUACAGUUGAUAGGGCUGAUAAGACACUUGUGAAUUUGGAGAGCUGUGAAAAAAAUGUUAGACAGAUGGCGGAAAACGGUAGACUGCAACCGCUUCUUAGGCUUCUUCUUGAAGGUUCAGCUGAUACACAAUUAUCUAUGGCUGCUUAUGUCGGGGAGCUUGUUUUAACCAACGAUGUGAAGGUCUUUGUGGCACAAACAGCAGGCUCCGCACUAGUCAAUAUCAUGAAAAGUGGGAAUAGGGAGGCUAGAGAAGCAGCUCUGAAGGCACUGAAUCAAAUUUCAUCUUACGACGUCAGUGCGAAGAUACUAAUUGAAGCAGGUAUUCUCCCACCUCUCAUAGCAGACCUCUUUACAGUUGGCAGUAAUCAGCUUCCAAUGAAGUUGAAGGAGGUAUCAGCAACAAUUCUUGCAAAUGUUGUGGCAUCAGGUGCAAAUUUUCAGUCCAUUCCACUUGACCACAACAGGCAGACACUGGUAUCUGAAGAAAUUGUUCACAAUCUGCUUCAUCUCAUCAGCAAUACAGGACCUGCAACUGAGUGUAAGUUACUCCAGGUGCUUGUUGGUUUAACUAGUUCUUCUACAACUGUCCAAGGCAUAGUUGAUGCCAUCAAAAGCUCAGGGGCUACUGUCAGUUUAAUUCAGUUUGUUGAAGCACCUCAAAGAGAGGUUCGCAUGGCUUCCAUCAAGCUCUUGAAUAACAUAUCACCAUGUAUGGGUCAAGAACUGGCUGAAGCUUUUCGUGGAAAUUUUAGUCAACUCAGCAGCUUGAUUAGAGUCAUUGCCGACAACAAUGGUAUUUCUGAAGAGCAAGCACCAGCUGCUGGUCUGGUAGCUGAUCUUCCUCUGCAGGAUUCGGUGCUAACCAGACGUCUUGUUGAAGAUGGGGCUUUCACCACAAUAAUAUCCAAAGUGAUAAUGAUCAGACAAGGGGAGAGUCGUGGGGGGCGUUUCGUCAACCCUUUUCUUGAAGGUCUAGUUAGGAUUGUCUCCCGGAUCACAUUUAUCUUGGAGGAUGAUCCAGAUAUCAUUGCUGUUGCUCGUGAAUACAAUCUCACUGCACUAUUUAGUGAUCUGCUUCAGAUGAAUGGUCUUGACACUGUCCAGAUUGUCUCUGCCACCGCACUAGGAAAUCUAUCUGGCCAGUCAAAGCAUCUAACGAAGAUUCUGCCACCUCCCAACGCGGGAUUGUGUUUUUCAAUAUUUCCAUGCCUCAGUCAGAAGUCUGUAGAAACUGGUGUCUGUAGAGUUCAUCAUGGAAUAUGUUCGUCAAGGGAAAGCUUCUGUCUCUUGGAAGGGAAGGUGGUGGAGAAGUUGGUUGCUUGCUUGGAUCACAACAAUGAGAAAGUUGUUGAAGCCUCUCUAACAGCACUGUCCACAUUAUUAGACGAUGGAGUGGACAUUGAUCAAGGUGUGAUGGUCCUGUGCGACGCAGAGGGCGUCAAACCAAUUCUUGAUGUGUUGUGUGAGAAUCGGACUGAAGCGCUGAGGCAGAGAGCGGUGUGGGCCGUAGAAAGGAUCCUUAGGACGGAUGAAAUAGCUUAUGAGAUCUCGGGAAACCAAAAUGUCAGUACAGCCUUGGUUGAAGCUUUCAGGCAUGGUGACUUUAGGACAAGGCAAAUUGCAGAGCGAGCACUAAAGCAUGUUGAUAAGCUGCCCAAUUUCUCAGGGAUAUUUUCGAAGAUCGGGGCACAGUGA